RNAcentral lists this ribosomal RNA (254 nucleotides) under uncultured bacterium. RNAcentral describes it as "partial 16S ribosomal RNA". It matches the Rfam family "Bacterial small subunit ribosomal RNA", at positions 524 to 776 of the family's 1533-position model. The record is from RNAcentral.
UACAGAGGGUGCGAGCGUUGUCCGGAAUCACUGGGCGUAAAGGGCGCGUAGGUGGUGGCUUAAGCGUGCGGUGAAAGCUCGGGGCUCAACUCCGAGUCGGCCGUGCGAACUGGGCUCACUGGAGCAUAGUAGAGGCAGGUGGAAUUCCGGGUGUAGCGGUGGAAUGCGUAGAGAUCCGGAAGAACACCGGUGGCGAAGGCGGCCUGCUGGGCAGUGGCUGACACUGAGGCGCGACAGCGUGGGGAGCAAACAGG